RNAcentral lists this ribosomal RNA (253 nucleotides) under uncultured bacterium. RNAcentral describes it as "partial 16S ribosomal RNA". It matches the Rfam family "Bacterial small subunit ribosomal RNA", at positions 524 to 776 of the family's 1533-position model. The record is from RNAcentral.
GACAGAGGUGCCGAGCGUUAGGCGGAAUCACUGGGCUUAAAGCGUGUGUAGGCGGGUGCCUAAGUACCUUGUGAAAUCCCACGGCUUAACCGUGGAACUGCUUGGUAUACUGGGUGUCUUGAGCCAACUAGAGGCAGUCGGAACAAACGGUGGAGCGGUGAAAUGCGUAGAUAUCGUUUGGAACGCCAAUGGUGAAAACAGACUGCUGGGGUUGUGCUGACGCUGAGACACGAAAGCCAGGGGAGCGAACGGG